Small nucleolar RNA from Mastomys coucha (southern multimammate mouse), 130 nucleotides. RefSeq annotates it as small nucleolar RNA SNORA17. The record is from RefSeq and is a predicted model, not a curated record. The transcript has a single exon. NCBI's taxonomy places the organism in Eukaryota, Metazoa, Chordata, Mammalia, Rodentia, Muridae.
CCUGCCCUUAGAGGCAUUGAGGGUGUGGCUGGUGUGUCACUAAUGUGUCAGUAGGUGACAGAGAGGACAGACACUGUCUAUGCUCAGAGUUCUGACCUGUGAAUCUCUGAAUGAUGAGUAACCUAACGCU